This 496-nucleotide ribosomal RNA is filed under the name uncultured bacterium. RNAcentral's name for it is "partial 16S ribosomal RNA". It matches the Rfam family "Bacterial small subunit ribosomal RNA", at positions 28 to 506 of the family's 1533-position model. The record is from RNAcentral.
GACGAACGCUGGCGGCGUGCCUAAUACAUGCAAGUCGAACGCUGAAGAGAGGAGCUUGCUCUUCUUGGAUGAGUUGCGAACGGGUGAGUAACGCGUAGGUAACCUGCCUUGUAGCGGGGGAUAACUAUUGGAAACGAUAGCUAAUACCGCAUAACAAUGGAUGACACAUGUCAUUUAUUUGAAAGGGGCAAUUGCUCCACUACAAGAUGGACCUGCGUUGUAUUAGCUAGUAGGUGAGGUAAUGGCUCACCUAGGCGACGAUACAUAGCCGACCUGAGAGGGUGAUCGGCCACACUGGGACUGAGACACGGCCCAGACUCCUACGGGAGGCAGCAGUAGGGAAUCUUCGGCAAUGGGGGCAACCCUGACCGAGCAACGCCGCGUGAGUGAAGAAGGUUUUCGGAUCGUAAAGCUCUGUUGUAACUCAAGAACGGGUGUGAGAGUGGAAAGUUCACACUGUGACGGUAGCUUACCAGAAGGGGACGGCUAACUACGU